Molecule: non-coding RNA, 26 nt
Filed under: Mus musculus (house mouse)
Lineage: Eukaryota; Metazoa; Chordata; Mammalia; Rodentia; Muridae
Source: RNAcentral
UGGCUGAUGACGUUCUCACAGGAUGG